Non-coding RNA from Nerophis lumbriciformis (worm pipefish), 1045 nucleotides. The record is from RefSeq and is a predicted model, not a curated record. Lineage: Eukaryota; Metazoa; Chordata; Actinopteri; Syngnathiformes; Syngnathidae.
GCUGCCCAAGUCACGUCGGAGUUCAUUGACGGUAACUUUGUUGGCUUAAACAUCACAUUUAGGUUUAGGGUCUUCUAGGCGCGAUGCGAGACGUCACAAGCGGGCUAACGUUGAGCCAAACAGCAGCUUCGAGGCACGGGCGGAAAUGAGAAGGAGUUUGGCCCCCAGUCAGGUCGCCAAACGGAAGCAAGGGGAGGAUGAUCAUCGAGACGAAAUAUAGUAUAUUAACCACGCGGUUCUCGAGAGAAGAUGAAUGGAGAAAAUUGGGACAGUGAUGAAGAAGUCCAAGUUCCAUGGCCACUCAACAAAGCAGGAGGAAGGAAGCAGUCACAAACCAAAUACGUGGCAAGAAUUCUGAGAUUUGGUGAAGACACACGUGAACUGACGCCAUAUUUGAAAGCCGCUCAGGAUGGCAAGGAUGUACCCCUUACUGGUGAUUUGGAAUAUGGCAGAGGCUAGAGAAACAAACAGCCAAAGUCUUGGUCAUCAGACAGUGAGAGCAAGGAUGAAAGUGUUGAGGAGACUCUAUCUGACAGACAGCAGAAGAAAAAGAGGAAAGUAAGCCGUACAGCUGUGGGAUAUGAUGCUCGGGCACAAUUGAAGGCCCAACUUGCUGCUCUGGGAAGAACUUCACCGAAAGAUACAUGUACAGAAAUGGAAUCCCUGAAGAAGGAAGUCCUCCAGUUGAGAGAGGAAAACAAAUCCCUUCGAGAUGCAUUGAGGGUUGUUGAAGGACUUCCUGGCCUGCUAAUGAAGAUGGACGACUUAUCACGUCAGGCAACAAUACUAUCAGCUCGACGUCCUGCUGUCGCUCUGCCAGAGAGGAGCUGGCCAACAGCAGCUUGACAGGAAAAAAAUCCAAUGCUUUUAAGGAUAAGCAUGAGAAACCAAAACUGGAUGACAAGAAAGUGUCUGCUAUUAUUGAUUUUGUGAAGAAGCUCCAUCCCUCAAGUGAAGCAAAUGUGAUAAAGAAAAUCAUUGGAGUGAAACUGAACAUUGCGCAGAAAAUGGGAAAAAAAGAAGGCCUCAGAAACAAAUUCUGCUG